Molecule: long non-coding RNA, 619 nt
Filed under: Phoenix dactylifera (date palm)
Lineage: Eukaryota; Viridiplantae; Streptophyta; Magnoliopsida; Arecales; Arecaceae
Description: long non-coding RNA (PDAC_LNC020521)
Source: RNAcentral
AGUCAACUCGACUGACUUGAGAGUCGACUCGAGAUAUUCGAGAGACGUCUCGUUCUCAGAGGCCUAAAAGAUGAUUCUCUGUCUUUUGAACUGUUCUGCCUCGGAGUCGACUCGGAUCUUGUUGGAGUCGACUCGGCUAACUUGGAAGUCGACUCUGAAAUACUUGGAGUCGACUCGUUCACAGAAUCUCCAAGACUGAGUCUCUGCCUUUCAGACUGUUUUUCUCUAGGAGUCGACUCGGACAAACUGGGAGUGGACUCGGCUAAUGUGGAAGAUUCUGCAGUCUCAUUAUUAGUAUGCAAUUGAAGCACAUGUGAGCUAAUCUGAGAUUUAUCAUAAAUAUUUUUUAAAGUAUCCCAGAUUUCUUUAGCAGAUAAGCAUGCAGAAAUCUUAUGAAAUAUAGAUUAAUGGAUAGCACAAUAUAAAAAGUUCAUAGCAUUAGCAUUCAAUUGUGCUAAGUCUUUUUCAUUGACAUUUUGAGAGAGUGUGUGAGGUCCAUUUAUAAUGAUAUUCCAUAUUUUAUAAUUUUGUGAUUGAACAAAAAUUUUCAUUCUAGCUUUUCAUUGAAUAUAGUAAGUUCCAUCAAACAGUGGAGGUCUGUUUAUAGAAAGUCCCUCGG